This 462-nucleotide ribosomal RNA is filed under the name uncultured bacterium. RNAcentral's name for it is "partial 16S ribosomal RNA". It matches the Rfam family "Bacterial small subunit ribosomal RNA", at positions 28 to 507 of the family's 1533-position model. The record is from RNAcentral.
GAUGAACGCUGACAGAAUGCUUAACACAUGCAAGUCUUUGGCGAAGCUGUGCUUGCACAGCCUAGCCAAGGCGGACGGGUGAGUAACGCGUAAGGAACUUGCCCUGCAGUCAGGGAUAACAGACGGAAACGACUGAUAAGACCUGGUAAAGUCAGGCGGACUCAUGUCCAGCCUGAUGAAAAGAGAUGCUGCAGGAGAGCCUUGCGUCCUAUUAGCUUGUUGGUGGGGUAACGGCCCGCCAAGGCGAUGAUAGGUAGCCGGCCUGAGAGGGUGGACGGCCACAAGGGGACUGAGAUACGGCCCUUACUCCUACGGGAGGCAGCAGUGGGGAAUAUUGGACAAUGGGGGCAACCCUGAUCCAGCAAUUCUGUGUGCACGAUGAAGGUUUUCGGAUUGUAAAGUGCUUUCAGCAGGGAAGAAAAAAUGACGGUACCUGCAGAAGAAGCGACGGCUAAAUACGUG